UUGUAUUUAGGCCUCAAAUGUGAGCCCAAUGGAGAACCACGCUAGGAAAAUUUAAUAAACACGCAGCCAAGUUCCAGAUUUUGUAUAACACCAAGUAAAUGCAGAAUUAGAGCCGACCCUCAAGCUCGCAUAUGAUUACAAUUUUUGCUUACUGGCUCUUAGGAAUAAUGCUACAUAGACCCACCAUAGUCAUUCGUAUACUUUGCAUUUAAUCAUGAUAUAAUCACAUCCAUUAACCUAAAUCUGUCACCUUACCAGGGGUAUUAGAAUUACAUAUUACAUUACUAACUACUCUAAAUACUAUUAUCGAUAUUUAUUCAUGAAAUUGAAAUAGGACUGAUGCUAACAGUCCAGGAAUAACCCUAUAAUCAUUUACAAGGCAGAUUAGUUAAAUGUCCAAUUUUACAAGACCUUGUCUUAACUUUGAUAAAUAACACAAAGCAAUACAAGCUGAAAUAAAAACAUAAACACUUUUGUAACUGGAGCAUCCAUUAAGUCCAAACUUCCUACAUCAUUGGAGAUGGAAAAUAUACCUGGAAUUUGUGCAAAACAAACUGAAAGUCAGCAACACUCAAACAACAUCAUAUCCACAAGAAUCCACAGCUUAUGAAUAGUUCAUAAACCCAGAAAUGAUUCCAAAUGACCAGAGAAGUUUUAAUCCAAACUCAAACUAGUAAGAAACCACCCAAAUGGCUAACAGGAACCUCUACCAGCCAUACAUGACCCUGACCAGCUUGAAUUGAGACUAGGACAGUACUUGAACAUCAAAUAUAUGUAAUUUCAGAUCAUUUUUCUACCUCCUAUAGCUAAAUCACUGAUAGAGAGUUGAGAUUAAGAGUUUUAAAAGGUAAAAUCCAAUGGAACUGUAAAAAACUUGGAUUUUUGGAGAUUUUGAGGAAUUUUUGAGAGAUUUUUUAAGCUUCAAAAUUCUGGGAAUUUUAGAGAUAAUUUCAGACUGUCUAACCCCUUUUUUGGAUGAAUUGGGGUGCCUUUUAUAGCCAAAGGCUAGUGCAACCCUUUUAUUUUAUUUUAACUACUCGUCUCUCUUUUGAUUUUCAAACUUUACCUGCUUGGUCAUUAAUCUUUUGACUUGUUUCCCAAGUUACUGCACUAAGCUACUGAUUUUUAAACUAAAAUCCCCUUCUAGAAGGGUCUAUUAGAUUCUAGCAUUGCUUCUUGCUUACGGGAUGCCUAUACUAUCCUAUUUUAUUCUAAAAACUACCAGAACUAAGCUAAAACCCUAUAUUACCCUUUAGCAUACUGAAAUUACCAUUUACUAAGCUAAGUCUUACAAUUAACUACUAAUAACUAUAGCCAAUCCCUAAUUAUAUUUGAACUAUUAAUCAGAAAAAAAAAAUCCAACUUAGAAUUCAAACACUACUGAAUCAAGAAUUUAAAUUAAAUCCCGAAAUUAAAAGAAAAACACGAAAAGCUGUAAUUAUCAUGCCAUUAUAAAAAUUGAAACUGAUUCUUAUUCGAACUAUCAUCAACUGAACAAAUCAAAACUAAUGCUACAAGUAUCAGGAAUUGGAUAUAUGGUGGAAAACUUAAACUUAAAUAUGCAACUGAACUAAAUGGUAAUCAAAAUCAAAAAUCGAAAUAACAGAACUUAGUCAUGAUUCCUAACAAUUAAACUAGACCAAGUAAAACAAUAAUGAACAGAAACAUAAUAAGAAAAAGAAAACAUGAAACUUACUGACAUGAGUCUUCAAUUAAUUCGGCUAAUUUUAAUUUGAGUCUUCAAACGGAGUUGCAGGUUUGUUUUUGGCCAAAACGAACAUGCAACUUCGUUUUGAAACUCAAGCGGCUUGAAAAAAAUUCAACCUCAAGAUUAGGUCAAAUCCAGAUUUGAAAUUUGAAGGGCCUAGGAGCUAUUCAAAUGAAACUAACCUUGUUUUUGGGUAGGGGAGGCCAAUGGGGGUGGGUGGUAUUAAUUUGGAGGCCAUUGGCAACUGGUUGCCGCCGUGGACGACAGGGGUGUCAACUUUUAACUGAAUAUUCGGCAAGAUCGGGAUAUAUUCGAGGGUAAUCAAUGAUGUGGUUGGAAAGAAAUGAGCGAGGAGAGGAUGUGGUGUUAUUUUGGGGUCCAUCAGAGUUACACCGACGGCGGUGGCGAUUUCUUGCCGGCGGCGGGAGGUGGUGAUACGGCGGGGGAUGGGCGAUGUAACACCGGUGAAUUUAGGGUAACUUUGGACAGG
RNAcentral lists this long non-coding RNA (2198 nucleotides) under Nicotiana benthamiana. Its description in RNAcentral is "long non-coding RNA (NBEN_LNC031410)". The record is from RNAcentral. Lineage: Eukaryota; Viridiplantae; Streptophyta; Magnoliopsida; Solanales; Solanaceae.